This 2013-nucleotide unclassified non-coding RNA is filed under the name Hevea brasiliensis (rubber tree). Lineage: Eukaryota; Viridiplantae; Streptophyta; Magnoliopsida; Malpighiales; Euphorbiaceae. The record is from RNAcentral.
GGCUGUGGUGAUGUUAGAAUUUGCUCCUAUUUUAGUGUCUUUAGUUAUUAGUUUCCUAGUUUCUUUGAUCCUGUUAGGCGUUAUUUUCAUUUUAUCUUCCAAUAGUUCGAUCUAUCCAGAAAAAUUGUUGCCCCGGUGCGGUAGAAUGUCUAAUUCUGUAGUAAGAAUUACAGUAAGAAUUACUAUUGUUUUAGUAUUGCUAUGUGUAUUCUAUUCAUUCUUUCGGCUAAUCGGCCUAGAUGUCACUUUUUUUGGAGGUGAACUAAUGUGUAGCCUUUUCAGCAAGGCUAUCUACUUCCUCUUUGCUCGCUUCGGCUACUUUGGUCUCCUAGUGGGGGCUCUUGUGAUGUCUGAGGAUAUGUGGGGCUGUUGCAACAUGAUGUCUCCAGAGGGAGCCAGUUCUGACAAAAACGUCAUAUCUUCAGCAUCCACAGGGCAAACCCCCUGUCCUCAGCCCCCUUUCGACCCGCAUGCAGGACCGUCUAGCCCGUCUAGCUCGGUGGUGAGCGUGCCGCAAGAUGAGCUCUGGGCGGCGCUGGACAAACGCCCCGACUCAAUCACUUCGAAUAGAAUAUUUCAAGCUCCGAGUCCCGGAGUCCCGGCAGAAGUUUUUGAAGUUUCGCCCAGUCCAGACCAAGAAGCGCAACUUCAGGCUGCGCCAUCCCUCCUAGCGGUAGAACAUCGAAUCUCAGAGGUUUUAUCUUCUUUUAAUCGCAUAACCAUGAGAUCGGAUAUUCUAAGCUCUGUUUAUGAUAAACUAGGGCUGAAAACUGCGAGUUCACAAAAACUUCACCACCUCAUGAACCAAUUAGAUAUACUUGAACAUUCUGAGGGGGACGAAAGGCCUAAAACCGGCGCCAAAGCAGCACAAAAGUUAAUCGAGGUUAUCAACGACUGGUGCAAGCAGAACCCCGGCCAAUAAUCUCCUACGAAUACUACCAACCCAAAGAAAUACGACCUCUCUGAGAUAUACAGUUUAUGCCGGAAAGGUACGAAGUUGGACUAAUUUGGAAACAUUGGGCAAUUUACUUUAUACCUACUAUUUCGUCUGGUUUUUGGUUUCUAGUCUUAUUUUAUUAGUAGCCAUGAUUGGGGCUAUAGUACUGACUUUUUUUUUCCAAAACCUUUCUUUUUUCGGUAUGCCGCUCCGCGAGCAAGGAGUGCCACGCACGAGCGGAGCGAAAACAAAGCAGGGGGAAUUCUUCGUUGGGGGAAAUCCUUUGAUUGCGUAUUGAAUAUAGAUCCAUGUCUUUCUUGUUCCACUAGCUAGGACCAAAUUCUCACAUGUUCGUUUCGUUAUUACAACCUUCUUUUUUGAUGUCAAAGACCAGAAGCUAUGCGCAAAUUCUCAUUGGAUCUUGGUUGUUCUUAACAGCGAUGGCUAUUUAUUUAAGUCUUUGGGUAGCACCACUAGAUUUUCAACAAGGUGGAAAUUCUCGUAUUCUGUAUGUACAUGUUCCUGUGGCUUGGAUGAGUAUUCUUGUUUAUAUCGCUACGGCUAUCAACACUUUCUUUUUCCUAUUAACAAAACAUCCCCUUUUUCUUCGCUCUUCCGGAACCGGUAUAGAAAUGGGUGCUUUUUUUACGUUGUUUACCUUAGUUACUGGGGGGUUUUGGGGAAGACCUAUGUGGGGAACCUUUUGGGUGUGGGAUGCUCGUUUAACCUCUGUAUUCAUCUUGUUUUUUAUUUACCUGGGUGCACUGUGUUUUCAAAAGCUUUCUGUCGAACUGGCUUCUAUUUUAAUCUGUAUUGGACUGAUCGAUAUACCAAUAAUCAAGUUUUCAGUCAACUGGUGGAAUACAUUGCAUCAACCUGGGAGCAUUAGCCGAUUUGGUACAUCAAUACAUGUUUCUAUGCUUAUUCCAAUCUUGUCUAACUUUGCUAACUUCCUCUUCUUAACCUGUAUUUUGUUUGUUCUGGAAACACGUCUUCUUAUUCUAUCUUUUCUCGAAUCUUCUUUAACGGAAGAAAUAGAAGCUCGAGAAGGAAUACCAAAACCUAGUUCACUCGCU